CUUGAAACCACGAGUAAUUACCUGGCAUUAUUUCAUUAUCUCAGCUGGUUUUAUGACUUCGAACAUAUGAGAGUACUCUAACAUGUAAAAUAAUUCUUUCUCAGGUUCCAAAUAAGUCAACAGUAGGUCAAAAAUAGAGGUGAAACAUUGCCAGGCAGGCAGACACACAACAACAGUCGAUGAUUAUAGCUUAAGGUCCAAUGAGGAUAAUAUAAGUAGUGGAAAACGGAAUUUUGUAUCCACACCCCUAUUGAUCAAGGAGUAAGUCAACAUGAUACAAGGAACGUACAACAACACCCGAGACAAUAUAAUUACAACACUGCAAAAAAUUAGAGAUCCAUGUAAUCAAAUAUCUCUUUGUUAAAUUUUAGCUGAACAACUUAACUUAUAGAGUGCCGAUGGUUCAGAUCUUUUUCCUUUUAAUUAACAUGUGAGUUAUUAUAAAGUGGGUAAUUUCUUUUUGCGGUAUAUAAAGUGGGUAAUUUGUAUAGACUAAGACAUGGAAAAAGGGUGUAGGUGGUGCAAAUUCAUAGCAAGUUUUAUAUUGGAUGCACACAAACAACUGUGUGGACACACAAAAAGAAAACAAUCACUUUGAAAGUUUGAAUAGAAAUGUCUAAAUGAACAUCAGAUGGUCUAGUGUCUCCACUGAAAGCACUACAUGGACCCCUCAUUAACAAUUUAGCAAUGAACAAACAAUUCUAGUAUUUAGACAUGAGAAUACCUUGUACAGAAUUUCAAAGCCAUAAAAACGUUACCACUGGUUUGGGUAUCCUAGAAAUAAAAUAGAGGUAAUAAAUUCCUUAUAACUAAUCAGGUGAACAUAGAAAAUUGAUUACCUCUGGUUUGAUCCCAUGUGCUCUAGCCAAAAAUAGAUCAAAUCGGCAGGAUAUCCUAUAAGGAAACAAAUCUAGCAAGGAAACUGAUUAUUAUUAUAUCUAAUUUCCAGCUACCAGUGGUAGGCGCAAAGUGGAACACUAUUACGUAGGACAACAAAUUUGGGCAGGAGGAAGUAUAAUGGUUAUGAAUGCCAGGCAAAGUGUAUUAAGUUCAUAACUAUGAGCAUGCAAAUAAUUUAUAUGAAGGGUCCCUUUUCUUCUGCAUAAGUCAGACAU
This 1115-nucleotide long non-coding RNA is filed under the name Triticum aestivum (bread wheat). RNAcentral describes it as "long non-coding RNA (TAES_LNC005717)". Lineage: Eukaryota; Viridiplantae; Streptophyta; Magnoliopsida; Poales; Poaceae. The record is from RNAcentral.